CUGCUGCCCGUCUGCGACUGGUACUGGCCGCCAGUGCUCUGUGUCGCCCUUCCCUGUGUCGACUGUCCUCUGUGUCGGUCUGCCACACCAUGGCACCAUCCGGCGUCUCCGUUCCGCUGGUGCUGGUGCUGUUGUUGGUGCUGGUGCUGGUGUCAGCGCCGGCAGCGGCGCAGCGCUGUAACCGAGAGCCCCCCGACCGGAACACGGCUAAAACGGCCGGAGGGGGCGGCUUCCGGAUUAAGUUCAGCGGCGGGGUCGACACGUACACACCGGGAACAAUCUACACUGUGAAGCUGAUGGGCUGGAGGACGCAGUACCUCGCGGAGAAGUUCACCGCCUUCAGUCUGGUGGCGGAGAACUCGCGGACAGGCGGCUCCUCGGUGCGAGACGCCGGCUCUUUCCAGGUGUUCGGCUUCGGGCUGGCCAAGUUCGACCCCAACUGUCCCAACAUGGUCACCCAGACGUCCACCGUUCCCAAGACCGAGGCCGAGGUGCUCUGGAUGGCACCGCGGGCCGGUGCCGGCUGCGUCACCUUCAAGGCCGUCGUGGUCCGCUCCCGCUACGUGUGGUAUAUGGAUGACGAGGGACUGACGAAGGAAUUGUGCGAGGAGGGCUCCAGUCACCGACCGCCGCGGCAGCACCAGCAACAGGAACAGAGCCACCAGCAGCAGCAACAACAGGCCGAAGGCACCUGCUGCGCCUGUGACGAGGCCAAAUACGAGCUUCGCUUCGACGGCCUGUGGUCGCGCGAGUCCCACCCGAAGGACUUUCCGCGCAACGAGUGGCUAACUCACUUCAGCGACGUUCUGGUGGCGAGUCACGUGCCUGAUGUCAGCAUGUGGCAGGAGGGGGAGCCAGCCUCGGACGGGCUCAAACAGGUGGCCGAGUACGGCUACACCAGGAAACUCGAACAGGAGAUGAAGGUCAAGGGGCGAGCGUUGCGGACCCUGACUCGAGCCAAGGGUCUGUGGCAUCCGAACGUCCAGGGCACUACCGCUGUCGACUUCAAGGUGGACAAGAAGCGUCAUCACUUUUCUGCAGUCACCAUGCUAGGGCCGUCCCCGGACUGGAUUUUGGGGGUGUCGGGUCUGAACCUCUGCCUCAAGAACUGCUCCUGGAUGGAGGAGAAGGUCAUCGACCUCGGACUGUAUGACGCCGGAACCGACAGCGGCAUCAGCUACGAGUCUCCGAACGCUCCUGAGGCGGAGCGGCAGCCGGUUCGCGCCAUCACCGCUGAGUGGCCUGCCGACCCGCGCGCGCCCUUCUUUGGCGCGCCGGCGGCACCCGUGGCGCGCAUCACCCUGACCCGGACCCGGGUCAUCCCCCGCAGCUGCGACCAUCAGCCGGACGUGGGACGGCACACAUCGGGAGCAGACGACCUGCCUCGCGAUGACCGACCCGAGUGUAUGGUAACUCCGUGGAGCGACUGGUCCGAGUGCUCUGUCACGUGUGGGGAAGGACUGAGUAUGCGCACCAGGGAGUACAAACUACCCGCAAAGGCGCAGAUGAUGAAUUGCAAACAGCAACUCGUCGAAAAGGUGCUGUGUGACGCCCCGCUGACGUGCGACGGCCGGCCACGGCCCGUGUCAGACCACUCCGGACUCGGGGAGCUGAGCGGCCUGUGCGCCAUGAGCUCGUGGAGCGCCUGGUCGCCGUGCUCGGUCACCUGCGGCCAGGGCUUCAGGAUGCGGAGACGGAACUACCUGGACCGUAUGGGCAGGAAGAAGUGCUUCCACGACACAGAAGAGAAGGAGAAGUGUAUGGCGGUGCAGGCCGAGUGUCCGGAGACAGAAGAGGAGGAGGUGGACAGCGCCUGCCCAGUGACCGACUGGAGUUUCUGGUCGCCGUGUUCAGUAACCUGCGGCAGCGGACAGCGGGUUCGGGCCCGGCUGCUGCUGCUCCCGGAGCGCGAGCAGGCCCAGUGUCAGCACGUGCGGCUGAUGGACAAGGGUCCCUGUGAGGCGGCCAGAAGGAGCUGCACCCUGGACAUGAUGGAGGCUAAACGUGUGUGUAUGCUGCCUCGAGAGAUGGGCCCUUGUCGCGGUAACUUCGAGCGCUGGUACUUCGAGCCGAUGAAGGGCAUGUGCGUGAGGUUCGUCUACGGAGGCUGCCGCGGAAACCAGAACAACUUCGAGACGUUUGAGGACUGCCAGACAUCCUGCUCAGUGGUGGCUGGCGGCGGCGGCGGCUCCCCUGCCGCCCAUAACCUGGUGUCGACUGCCCCCGAGCCUGUGGACUGCAUGGUCACCCCGUGGCUGCCCUGGGAGCCCUGUGACCGCACCUGUGGCCGCCGUGGCUCCGGCAGACAGCGGCGCGUCAGACGCAUCAAGGUCCACCCGAGGAAUGGGGGCCGUCGGUGUCCCCGUCGCAUGGAGCGUUAUCGACGCUGUCGUAACCUGCCACCCUGUAUCUAAAAUCACCCGACAAACAGCGCUGUGGAGUCAGAACGUGACCGUGAGGGAACAGCGUCGACAUGCCAGCACAUUCGUCCGUGCGCGCCCAGUAAACAGGCGACUGAGACGGCAAACUGUGAAGAACGAGGAUGAUUGAGAAACAUGACCAAGCGCAAGUCGCGCGCGUGAUAGGCGAUCUUUUUUCAUAUGUAGGUACUUCGGGUCUUGCUAGUUGGCUGUAUAUGUAAUUCAUUGCAAUGCUGCAUUUGAUUAUACCUACGUCAUAUUCAUAUACCAAGAUGGCAACAGCUACAAGCUUGCAAGCUCUAGAGUAGUGGCGAACUGUCGAAAACAAUGACGACUUCUACGGUUUAUGGUAAUGCGACGCAAGACGCAACAUUAACCGCACGUUUUUUUAUGAACGGAGAGGUGGUUUACUGCGUGACUUAAUGCAAGCUAUUACAUUUGCAUUUAAUAAAGCGCACGCCAUCGCCCCAAUAAAAAUGUUGCUGCCAGAGAAGUUAAUCGUUGCCAAUAUAAAACCGCCACCAAUCCA
Molecule: unclassified non-coding RNA, 2949 nt
Filed under: Amphibalanus amphitrite
Lineage: Eukaryota; Metazoa; Arthropoda; Thecostraca; Balanomorpha; Balanidae
Description: spondin-1-like, transcript variant X1
Source: RNAcentral